CAGAAUAUAAGCAGGGACAAGCAGGAAAUUGCUUUCUGCCUCAUCCUCUCUUCUCUGGGAGCUGCCAUGUGGGCCCGAUAAGAGAGGACACAUGCUGCCAGCGUGCUUGAUCAGAUAAGAGACGUGUGUAGAACCUUCUCUGAGGGGUGACAAGUUGAGAACUGGAGGAUGAGAACACCAUGGAGCUUAGAAAAACAAAACCAAUUAUAACUUCAAACAAGAACUGGAAUCGAUGCUAACGAGGCAGAGAGAUCAAACAGCACAGGGGCACUUGGUAGAAAGAAGAAGCCUUCUCCACCUGCAAGUCUGAAUCAUUCUUGUUUUUUGUUUUUCAGUACAGGGUUUCUCUGUAGCUUUGGAGCCUUCCUGGAACUUUCUCUGUAGACCAGGCUGGCCUUGAACUCACAGAGGUCCACCUGCCUCUGCCUCCCAAGUGCCACCAUUGCCGGGCUGUAAACCAUUCUUUUCUUGCUUACAGACAGGAAACUGAAUCCCAGCAAGGCAAGGAGACUUUAAGUCCACAUGCCCCACCAGCAUCUCCUUCCCAGACUGGAGCACCAUCACCUCUCACCAUUGCUGAGCAGCAAGAAGAUAAAGCAAAGUCUAGUUUCUGCCCUGGCAAGCCCUCCAGCACUCUCCAGUGCAGCUUAUAGUGGCCAUUGUGCUGUCCACGUAGUUCAACCUUGCUUGUCUUCAUCCCAGACUUUGUUCUGUGUGAGCAUGGACAGAUUCAUUAACUUUAUUCAGUUUUGAAGUUGGAAUAAUGCCAACCUCAUAGAGGUCCAAGAAUGAGAAAAAAAAACCUGCUUAUUAUAAUUGAAAUGUCUCUGAAAAGAUGUGGCCACACUAAAUGAUUAUAAAAUGUUCAAUAACCUACAUAUGCUACAUAUAGUAUGUAAAAUUAUUAUCACUGAAUUGUAUUCCCAUUCUUAUCUAUCUGUUGAUACAUUUAUUCAAUAAAAUCUUAUUAUACAAUCAGCUUGAGCAAUCACUAUGUUGGCAUAUGGUUGCAAGCAGUCCAGAUAGUAUUUCUUAUAUUAGGCAGGUCUUCUUGAAAAACACAAACAAAAGAAUGUAUUUUUCUCUAGAAAGUUUCAAUGAAAGGAAUCAGAGAAAAUGGCCAAAUUUGCAGAUUGAAUUGUAAGUAUGAGAGAGCCCAGAAGACUGGGGUAACCGUCGGGAAGUCAGCAAGCUUCGAGUCAGCUGGGUUUGGUUUGAGAUGGAAAGAAGCCAGUGUCCUGGCCCAAAGGCAGUCAGAGAAGAAGAAUUUUCCUGUCCGAGGGAGGCAAGACUUUUCACUCCAAUCGAGUUGGCAGAUAAAGCUAAGCAUCACAUUCCUCAUGAAGCUUCCCAUCCGUUUAGGAGAAACCAUGAUUCACAUAUAAUCACAAAGCUUUCAAGGGGUCUGAGUCUAACAAAGCAAGCUGCCAGGUGUGAAGAUAAAGGUAGAACCAUGUGACCAUGAAACUGUGACAUUCAUAGACUUGAGGCCAGGAACCUCCAGGCAGUAGGGAGUGCAUAGACCUCAAGACCUAGGAGGUUCUGAGGAUCCGAAAGGGCUGUGUGGCUGAAACACAGAAAGGAGGGGGUUGUGUGUGAGACAUGAACAGACAGAGUGAGAACCUUGGGAAACACAUCGACUCUUUUGAGGAGGAGGCUCAGAAGUAUGGGGCCAGUACAGGAGGCUGAAGGGAUGUCCGUGUUAAAGAAAUGCAGUCUAUUUAAAACAUGGUAAGUCCAUUAGUAAUUUGAUCUCUCGGGUUGUGAGGGAUCUCAUACCAUUUUGUUUAAUAUUUGAACACAUAGACAGAUGUUAACUGAUUAUUGUGACUCUAUACUCUUCUAUAUGAACAUUUCUGCAUUGCAUCUGAUAAAUUUGUUUUUUUUAUAGCUGUACAAUAUUCCAUCAUGGUUCCCACCAUGGAAUCUCUGGUUCUCAUGUACCCUUCUGUACUUCUUGCUUCUUUGAGUUUUUCCUUAAAAACAGUACUGUGGAGAACAUAUUUUGAACUUGUUUUCUUAUGAGCUCUUCUCUGAAGUUACAUUCCCCUCAUGGGUCUCUUAUCUGCAGGUCAUGGCCUCCUCUGUUUCCAGUCUAUCGUGUCAUGCCCCACUCAUCUUGCCUGGGCUGAGGAAUUCCAAGAAUUCCUGUCAUUUCUAGGGCAUUAGAUACAGAGAGAAUGCAGCAAGAAGAGGACCAAGCUCAUGAGGAUAGAGAAUCCCUUCAGUCCCAGUGCACUCAUCCUUGGGAUGUGGCCUCUGCUACAGAUUAGUCCUGCACUUGGCAUCCUGUGUCCCUUAGCUGGGAAGACAGCUUAUUCUCCUUCAUUUUAUAGACUCCAUGAGCACCAGUUAGGGUUCCGGUAAGAAUGUGUUAGGAAGCUGCAACAGAGACAACUGCUCAUAAAGCACCAUGAAUGUAAUUAGCCAAAGUUAACAUAACAUCAUCUGCAACAGAUGCCAAACCCCCAGUUUGCCAAUAUUUUUAUUUCUUCCUUUAUGUGAUAUAUUCAUUCUAAAACUUUUGAUGUUGAGAAAUUGGCCAGGGACAGUUUCUUCAGGCCAAGCAGAAUCAGGAGAAUUCAUCCAGUCCUCUUUCUUGGCCUGAUCAUAGUUUGCCCACUCAGCUAAGCACAUACUGCUGAGAUGGACUAAGAAGCAAAUGAAGAAAACUGAAUAACUAUGUUGCUUGAUUUAGGCUAGGCAUGCAGUCAAUACUUGGCUCAUUGGAGAAGAAUUACAUUCCUGGUAUCAAACAGUAUCAUAUGGUCACAAUGUGGGGUCUUGAUAACUAAGAAUAAAUUCCAAAGGAUUUCCUCAGUGUAUCCAGAAAAAACCUACAAGACAAGAAUAGAACAUCAUAACCAUUUAAUCCUCUUCCCUGAAAGGGGCAUACCAGAGAAGAAAUAGACUCCAGUGAGACUCAUGUAGACUCUUAGCCAUUUGGGUCAGAAUGACCACCCAUGGCUAUCAGCAAUGUCUGCAUCUAAUAA
Molecule: long non-coding RNA, 2993 nt
Filed under: Cricetulus griseus (Chinese hamster)
Lineage: Eukaryota; Metazoa; Chordata; Mammalia; Rodentia; Cricetidae
Description: lncRNA (ENSCGRG00015029349.1)
Source: RNAcentral